RNAcentral lists this long non-coding RNA (596 nucleotides) under Nicotiana benthamiana. Its description in RNAcentral is "long non-coding RNA (NBEN_LNC002423)". The record is from RNAcentral. Lineage: Eukaryota; Viridiplantae; Streptophyta; Magnoliopsida; Solanales; Solanaceae.
AUUUAUCCCUUCGAUUAUCCUUUAUAGAAAUAAAUACAAGUAUUUUGGUAUGAGAUAUUUUAGAAAGAAAAAUAUUUGGGAUUUUUAUAUAAUACAGCCGCCUCCAAAUAAUAUUUGAUGGACCGGCCAAAUAUGCCAAAGCCCAAGAAGAUUUUAGGCCACUUGAUUACAAGGAACUUGGCCAAAGACCAACUACCUUCUACUAGCCGGACGAGAAACAAACUAGCGGAUUGGCAAUUUUCAAGCUACCUUCUAGUCCAUCUAUAUCAUAUAGGUGUCAAACGGGCCGGGUUGACCGGACCUAGACUGGCCCGGCCCGGCCCAAUGCUUAGGGGGCUGGGUGGGCUAUGUUUUUCUAUAAAAAUUGCACGGGGCGUUUAAUUUGAUCGCCCUCAUUUAACAUAUACAUAUUUUUCUAAAAUUUUUUUACUUGUAUCCACUUUGUAAAUAACUUCAGCCCCCUUUUCUCAUCCUCCUUUACUUUCUUCCUUCUCCUUCUCCCCCUUCUUCUCCUUCUUCCUUCUCUCUUUCUAUCUUUCUCAUCGUCCAAUUCAUAAUCUUAUAGGAAAUCGAAGGAAUCACCCAGACUUAUUCUU